GGGAAAAGACGGUAGGAUAUGUACAUCUCUGCACGUAACUGAGUAAAUCAGAAAGUGGUGGGAGCAAUGGUUAUUCGUUGAGGGCACCUAUUUUGCCAUCAGUCCCAGUUGUGGGUUCCUGGACUCUGAAUGAGGUGACUCCUGUUCCUGUCCUGCCUCUGAUCCCAUCUGGGAUAUUCCCCAAAUCUCCUCCUACCUCAGUUUCCCUCUGUUGUCAGACAGAUAAAUAUUGUUUCCUCCCUUUGUAAAGCUCCCCAUGAAAUGCUGCUAAGACAGAGCAAGGUGUGGUGUUUUUAUGGCUGCUCUUUGCCUUGGGUUUGCAGAGGAAGCCUGCUCUCACCCCAAGGCACGGUGACCUGCCAGCACCAGCAGGAGGGAGCAGCCCCAGGACUCCCUGCAGAGGUAGCACUUUGAAGCAAAGGGUGUUGCAAGUGCAUAAAUCCCUUCCUACUAUGUGCUUCCUUGCCCUGGUGGCAUUUAUGGCUUGUUGCUGUGUUUUAGGAGCAUUAGGGAAAAUACAGAUAGUCUGGCAUUUUAUUACUCAUAUUUCUCUGCUCUUAAUGACUGAAUGGAGCACGACUUGCUAAUGAACUAGGCUGAAAUGAAUGCAUUUGUGGCACUAAUUGAAAUAAACCCAAGGUCUGGCUUUUCAAAAGGAGUAAAACCUCUAGCACUCUCAAAAAAAGAAAAGAAAAGAAAAGAAAAGAAAAGAAAAGAAAAGAAAAGAAAAGCCUCUUUUACUGUCUUUAACCCCUGCUUGUUGUCUUUCAGUACAGCUGCAUUUGGAUGCAACAGAGCAAGGCAGAUUCUGCUUGCGGGAACUAGGGAUUCAUGGUGCAGGAUGCUGGGGACUGGGCUUGGUGUUGCUCCCUUCCUCAUCUAUAAAAGCAGCUCAUUAGGGGCAGUAGGGUUCUCAGGUAGCAGAGGGUUAUGUGGAGAUGGCCUGGGAGCACAUGGAUGGAGGAAUUACUGGCAUUUCAAGUACCCACAGUGGCACUGCAAGCCAGACCAGCUGUGCCUGGUUAAUUAA
This 1030-nucleotide long non-coding RNA is filed under the name Anas platyrhynchos platyrhynchos (common mallard). RNAcentral describes it as "lncRNA (ENSAPLG00000020520.1)". The record is from RNAcentral. Lineage: Eukaryota; Metazoa; Chordata; Aves; Anseriformes; Anatidae.